UCUCCUCCUGUUCCUGGUCCUCGUCCCCGCAGCCGGGCGGGAUGGCCUUCUUGGGCCGCGUCAGGGAGCCGGGGCACGCCUGCUCCAUGGCCGCCUUCUCCUCCGCCUCCUUCUCCUCCUUCUUCUUCAGGCCGUACUGCGCAGCAAACAGGAAGUGCCUGAUUAGCAGGUGGGAUCAAGUGAAAGGAUUCUAACAGAGGAAGAUGGCCGCUGUGAACCUACUUGCUAAUUCUGCCUUGGAGACUUUGUAUGUCGCCUCCUGCCGCUCCUCCUCCUUCUUGGCAGCAUCCGGGUCCUUCUUCUCCUCCUCGCCGCCCAGCAUCUUGCCCAUGUCCUUGGUGGCCCCUGCACACACACGUCUCAGUGGGGGCACCGGGAGAAGACUAAGUCCAGGUCUAAGGUCCAGACCAUUUUCCAGCGAGGGCAUCGGAAAUACAACAGUGUAAAGACAAAGAAGGCGUGUGUAUGCGCCCCCUGGUGGCCGGGAGGAGCAUGAGAGCCCAAACAACAGAGCUGGUGGAGGAGGAGACUCACCGCCCAGAGCUUGCUUCAUGACAAAGUCCAUGUUGUGUUCCUCCAGCACGUCUGCUCACAGGAGGACGAGGACGCUGCUUCACCUGCAGCAAGAGAAGGAGGAGUGAGACAGCUUCUUCUUCUUCUUCUUCUCUGCUUUUCAUUUCAUCAUCCCACGUGGUCAUAACGGGACCAAACAUCUCCUUCCUUCCCCGGCAGGAGCCCACACAAGUCGGAUGGAGGAGGAGAGGAACCAGGAGACAAUUACAAUACAAAAAUAAGAAAAAUGAUAACAAUAAUAAUUCAAUAACAGCAAGUUGCACACACAGAGCGAGACAUCUGUGUGUGCACUGCAGGCCAGCAGGACUCGAACAACGGUCCGUCACGUCUUCAGGAUACUUCAGCACUAAGCUGAGUUAUGUGGCGACCGGUUACCAUGGAAACCACACAGCAACAAGACGGAGGCUGAAAUAAGUUGUGGAUGAAUUAUUGAUGAUUUCAUCGUGAGCUGCUGGCGGCGUCGUCGUCUGACCGGAUAAUUUAUUCAUGUGACUGCCAGCUGAUCAGCCAUUGGCCGAGCCUGGAAGAGGAGGUCACAUGACUUCAGCUCACUGAUGCUAACAGUAUUUCUUUCGAGGUUUACUAGCUGGUUGGCUAGUAACCACAACAUCAUUAUUAUUAAAAUACCUUUUCUUUUCUUUUUUAGCAUAUAUGCUAUUUGUUACGAUGCAUAGUAAUAAUGCUAACAGUCUUUUAAGCAUAUUGUAUAUAAUAUAUAUAAUGUAUCUCACAUAUGUAAUGUAAUGUAAAAAACAAUAUAAUGCAUAUACUAUAAUGUAUAGAAUGGACAGAAUAUAACACACAUGUAUAUAUAUAUAUAUAUAUAUAUAUAUAUCAAUCAAUCAAUGUUUAUUUAUAUAGCCCCAAAUCACAAAUGUCUCAAAGGACUGCACAAAUCAUUACGACUACAACAUCCUCGGAAGAACCCACAAAAGGGCAAGGAAAACUCACACCCAGUGGGCAGGGAGAAUUCACAUCCAGUGGGACGCCAGUGACAAUGCUGACUAUGAGAAACCUUGGAGAGGACCUCAGAUGUGGGCAACCCCCCCUCUCUAGGGGACCGAAAGCAAUGGAUGUCGAGCGGGUCUAACAUGAUACUGUGAAAUAUAUAUA
Nerophis ophidion (straightnose pipefish) is the source of this 1686-nucleotide long non-coding RNA. RefSeq lists it as uncharacterized. Lineage: Eukaryota; Metazoa; Chordata; Actinopteri; Syngnathiformes; Syngnathidae. The transcript has 3 exons. The record is from RefSeq and is a predicted model, not a curated record.